RNAcentral lists this ribosomal RNA (591 nucleotides) under Psychrobacter sp. RNAcentral's name for it is "bacterial SSU rRNA". It matches the Rfam family "Bacterial small subunit ribosomal RNA", at positions 847 to 1437 of the family's 1533-position model. Lineage: Bacteria; Pseudomonadati; Pseudomonadota; Gammaproteobacteria; Moraxellales; Moraxellaceae. The record is from RNAcentral.
CGCAGCUAACGCAAUAAGUAGACCGCCUGGGGAGUACGGCCGCAAGGUUAAAACUCAAAUGAAUUGACGGGGGCCCGCACAAGCGGUGGAGCAUGUGGUUUAAUUCGAUGCAACGCGAAGAACCUUACCUGGUCUUGACAUAUCUAGAAUCCUGCAGAGAUGCGGGAGUGCCUUCGGGAAUUAGAAUACAGGUGCUGCAUGGCUGUCGUCAGCUCGUGUCGUGAGAUGUUGGGUUAAGUCCCGCAACGAGCGCAACCCUUGUCCUUAGUUACCAGCGGGUUAAGCCGGGAACUCUAAGGAUACUGCCAGUGACAAACUGGAGGAAGGCGGGGACGACGUCAAGUCAUCAUGGCCCUUACGACCAGGGCUACACACGUGCUACAAUGGUAGGUACAGAGGGCAGCUACACAGCGAUGUGAUGCGAAUCUCAAAAAGCCUAUCGUAGUCCAGAUUGGAGUCUGCAACUCGACUCCAUGAAGUAGGAAUCGCUAGUAAUCGCGGAUCAGAAUGCCGCGGUGAAUACGUUCCCGGGCCUUGUACACACCGCCCGUCACACCAUGGGAGUUGAUUGCACCAGAAGUGGAUAGCCUA